CCUUCCGAAGUUUGCAAAUUUUGUAUGCUUUUGUGUUGCAAUUUUCGCAUGCAACACAAAAGUAUACAAAAUUUGCAAACUUUGCAA
Molecule: non-coding RNA, 87 nt
Organism: Paramuricea clavata
Lineage: Eukaryota; Metazoa; Cnidaria; Anthozoa; Malacalcyonacea; Plexauridae
Source: the annotation of a GenBank genome assembly